AGGAUAAACGCUGGCGGCGUGCCUAAUCAAUGCGAGUCGAACGGGCACCUUCGGGUGUCAGUGGCGUCCGGGUGAGUAACGCGUAGCUAACCUGCCCACAGGUGGGGAUACCCGCCAGAAAUGGCGGCUAAUACCGCAUAGCGUGACGAGGGGGUGACCUUCGGCACGAAAGCCGCAAGGUGUCUGUGGAGGGGCUGCGUCCGAUUAGCUGGUCGGUGGGUAACGCCUACCGAGGCGACGAUCGGUAGCUGGU
This 253-nucleotide ribosomal RNA is filed under the name uncultured bacterium. RNAcentral describes it as "partial small subunit ribosomal RNA". It matches the Rfam family "Bacterial small subunit ribosomal RNA", at positions 26 to 291 of the family's 1533-position model. The record is from RNAcentral.